AUUGAACGCUGGCGGCAGGCCUAACACAUGCAAGUCGAGCGGCAGCACAAGGGAGUUUACUCCUGAGGUGGCGAGCGGCGGACGGGUGAGUAAUGCCUAGGGAUCUGCCCAGUCGAGGGGGAUAACAGUUGGAAACGACUGCUAAUACCGCAUACGCCCUACGGGGGAAAGAGGGGGACCUUCGGGCCUCUCGCGAUUGGAUGAACCUGGGUGGGAUUAGCUAGUUGGUGAGGUAAUGGCUCACCAAGGCGACGAUCCCUAGCUGUUGUGAGAGGAUGAUCAGCCACACUGGGACUGAGACACGGCCCAGACUCGUACGGGAGGCAGCAGUGGGGAAUAUUGCACAAUGGGGGAAACCCGGAUGCAGCCAUGCCGCGUGUGUGAAGAAGGCCUUCGGGUUGUAAAGCACUUUCAGUAGGGAGGAAAGGGUGAGUCUUAAUACGGCUCAUCUGUGACGUUACCUACAGAAGAAGGACCGGCUAACUCCGUGCCAGCAGCCGCCGUAA
RNAcentral lists this ribosomal RNA (506 nucleotides) under uncultured bacterium. Its description in RNAcentral is "partial 16S ribosomal RNA". It matches the Rfam family "Bacterial small subunit ribosomal RNA", at positions 29 to 523 of the family's 1533-position model. The record is from RNAcentral.